AACGACCGCACCUACAUAUUUUUGCAUGUUUACAAUUCUAAUUUUAAACAGCCAAUCGACGCGUAACUGUAAAUGUUACCAAGAACCGGAUCGGCUGUUUAAAAUUAAAAUUGUAAACAUGCAAAAAUAUGUAGGUGCGGUCGUU
Molecule: non-coding RNA, 145 nt
Organism: Paramuricea clavata
Lineage: Eukaryota; Metazoa; Cnidaria; Anthozoa; Malacalcyonacea; Plexauridae
Source: the annotation of a GenBank genome assembly